GCUUACGGCCAUACCACCCUGAACACGCCCGAUCUCGUCUGAUCUCGAAGCUAAGCAGGGUCGGGCCUGGUCAGUACUUGGAUGGAGACCGCCUGGGAAUACCAGUGCUGUAAGCU
This 116-nucleotide ribosomal RNA is filed under the name Oreochromis niloticus (Nile tilapia). Lineage: Eukaryota; Metazoa; Chordata; Actinopteri; Cichliformes; Cichlidae. The record is from RNAcentral.